Molecule: ribosomal RNA, 515 nt
Filed under: uncultured bacterium
Lineage: Bacteria
Description: bacterial SSU rRNA
Rfam family: Bacterial small subunit ribosomal RNA
Source: RNAcentral
AGUAACACGUGACUAACCUACCCUUGAGUGGGGGAUAACCUAGGGAAACCUGGGCUAAUACCGCAUAAUACCUUCGGGUCAAAGGAGCAAUUCGCUUUAGGAGGGGGUCGCAGCCGAUUAGUUAGUUGGCGGGGUAAUGGCCCACCAAGACUGUGAUCGGUAUCCGGCCUGAGAGGGCGCACGGACACACUGGAACUGAAACACGGUCCAGACUCCUACGGGAGGCAGCAGUGGGGAAUUUUGCGCAAUGGGGGAAACCCUGACGCAGCAACGCCGCGUGGAGGAUGAAGCCCCUUGGGGCGUAAACUCCUUUCGAUCGGGACGAUAAUGACGGUACCGAGAGAAGAAGCCCCGGCUAACUUCGUGCCAGCAGCCGCGGUAAUACGAGGGGGGCGAGCGUUGUUCGGAAUUAUUGGGCGUAAAGGGUGCGUAGGCGGUUCAGUAAGUCUUGUGUGAAAUCUUCGGGCUCAACUCGAAGUCUGCAUGAGAAACCGCUGGGCUUGAGUGUGGGAGAG